AGUGAACGCUGGCGGUAGGCCUAACACAUGCAAGUCGAACGGCAGCACAGUAAGAGCUUCCUCUUACGGGUGGCGAGUGGCGGAGGGGUGUGGAAUACAUCGGAAUCGACUUUUUCGUGGGGGAAAACGUAGGGAAACUUACGCUAAUACCGCAUACGACCUACGGGUGAAAGCAGGGGAUCUUCGGACCUUGCUCGACUGAUUGAGCCGAUGUCGGAUUAGGUAGUUGGCGGGGUAAAGGCCCACCAAGGCGACGAUCCGUAGCUGGUCUGAGAGGAUGAUCGGCCACACUGGAACUGGGCCACGGUCCGGACUCCUACGGGAGGCAGCAGUGGGGAAUUUUCGACAAUGGGGGCAAGCCUGCUCCAGCCAUACCGCGUGGGUGAAGAAGGCCUUCGGGUUGUAAAGCCCUUUUGUUGGGAAAGAAAAGCAGCAGGUUAAUACCCCGAUGUUCUGACGGUACCCAAAGAAUAAGCCACGGCUAACUUCGUG
Molecule: ribosomal RNA, 492 nt
Filed under: uncultured bacterium
Lineage: Bacteria
Description: partial 16S ribosomal RNA
Rfam family: Bacterial small subunit ribosomal RNA
Source: RNAcentral